UUCGAUUUGAAACUAAUUCUUAGUUUGGUCAAGCUUAAUAUAUGCAUAAGAAAAUGCAAAUUACAUAUGACAUAAAUAUCCUCACAAGGGAAAAAAGAUGCUUGUUUAAACAUGCAAUAUUGUUUCCUGAUUGCAAAAUUUUGUAUCUAACACAUUAUAUAUUUAUACAAAACAAGAAAAAGAAAUGCACAUUUAAAUAUCCUAUCCUAAUUGCAAGAUUUUGAAUUUAACAUCUAAAGUAAAGCAGAUAAUAAGAAGUUUGGCCUAAAUAGAUCAUUAAGGACCAGAAAGAUUCAUGUAGUUGAUUCGAUUUGAAACUAAUUUUUAGUUUAGUCAAGCUUAG
RNAcentral lists this unclassified non-coding RNA (343 nucleotides) under Hevea brasiliensis (rubber tree). The record is from RNAcentral. Lineage: Eukaryota; Viridiplantae; Streptophyta; Magnoliopsida; Malpighiales; Euphorbiaceae.